This 725-nucleotide ribosomal RNA is filed under the name Salmonella enterica subsp. diarizonae serovar 50:k:z. RNAcentral's name for it is "partial 23S ribosomal RNA". It matches the Rfam family "Bacterial large subunit ribosomal RNA", at positions 777 to 1503 of the family's 2925-position model. Lineage: Bacteria; Pseudomonadati; Pseudomonadota; Gammaproteobacteria; Enterobacterales; Enterobacteriaceae. The record is from RNAcentral.
AACCGACUAAUGUUGAAAAAUUAGCGGAUGACCUGUGGCUGGGGGUGAAAGGCCAAUCAAACCGGGAGAUAGCUGGUUCUCCCCGAAAGCUAUUUAGGUAGCGCCUCGUGAACUCAUCUCCGGGGGUAGAGCACUGUUUCGGCUAGGGGGCCAUCCCGGCUUACCAACCCGAUGCAAACUGCGAAUACCGGAGAAUGUUAUCACGGGAGACACACGGCGGGUGCUAACGUCCGUCGUGAAGAGGGAAACAACCCAGACCGCCAGCUAAGGUCCCAAAGUCAUGGUUAAGUGGGAAACGAUGUGGGAAGGCCCAGACAGCCAGGAUGUUGGCUUAGAAGCAGCCAUCAUUUAAAGAAAGCGUAAUAGCUCACUGGUCGAGUCGGCCUGCGCGGAAGAUGUAACGGGGCUAAACCAUGCACCGAAGCUGCGGCAGCGACACUUUAGUGUUGUUGGGUAGGGGAGCGUUCUGUAAGCCGUUGAAGGUGUCCUGUGAGGGGUGCUGGAGGUAUCAGAAGUGCGAAUGCUGACAUAAGUAACGAUAAAGCGGGUGAAAAGCCCGCUCGCCGGAAGACCAAGGGUUCCUGUCCAACGUUAAUCGGGGCAGGGUGAGUCGACCCCUAAGGCGAGGCCGAAAGGCGUAGUCGAUGGGAAACGGGUUAAUAUUCCCGUACUUGGUGUUACUGCGAAGGGGGGACGGAGAAGGCUAUGUUGGCCGGGCGACGGUA